GCACGGCAGCACAGGAGAGCUUGCUCUCUGGGUGGCGAGUGGCGGACGGGUGAGGAAUACAUCGGAAUCUACUCUGUCGUGGGGGAUAACGUAGGGAAACUUACGCUAAUACCGCAUACGACCUACGGGUGAAAGCAGGGGACCUUCGGGCCUUGCGCGAUUGAAUGAGCCGAUGUCGGAUUAGCUAGUUGGCGGGGUAAAGGCCCACCAAGGCGACGAUCCGUAGCUGGUCUGAGAGGAUGAUCAGCCACACUGGAACUGAGACACGGUCCAGACUCCUACGGGAGGCAGCAGUGGGGAAUAUUGGACAAUGGGCGCAAGCCUGAUCCAGCCAUACCGCGUGGGUGAAGAAGGCCUUCGGGUUGUAAAGCCCUUUUGUUGGGAAAGAAAUCCAGCCGGCUAAUACCCGGUUGGGAUGACGGUACCCAAAGAAUAAGCACCGGCUAACUUCGUGCCAGCAGCCGCGGUAAUACGAAGGGUGCAAGCGUUACUCGGAAUUACUGGGCGUAAAGCGUGCGUAGGUGGUCGUUUAAGUCCGUUGUGAAAGCCCUGGGCUCAACCUGGGAACUGCAGUGGAUACUGGGCGACUAGAAUGUGGUAGAGGGUAGCGGAAUUCCUGGUGUAGCAGUGAAAUGCGUAGAGAUCAGGAGGAACAUCCAUGGCGAAGGCAGCUACCUGGACCAACAUUGACACUGAGGCACGAAAGCGUGGGGAGCAAACAGGAUUAGAUACCC
This 734-nucleotide ribosomal RNA is filed under the name Stenotrophomonas maltophilia. RNAcentral describes it as "bacterial SSU rRNA". It matches the Rfam family "Bacterial small subunit ribosomal RNA", at positions 61 to 787 of the family's 1533-position model. The record is from RNAcentral. Lineage: Bacteria; Pseudomonadati; Pseudomonadota; Gammaproteobacteria; Lysobacterales; Lysobacteraceae.